This 336-nucleotide ribosomal RNA is filed under the name Triticum aestivum (bread wheat). Its description in RNAcentral is "partial small subunit ribosomal RNA". Lineage: Eukaryota; Viridiplantae; Streptophyta; Magnoliopsida; Poales; Poaceae. The record is from RNAcentral.
AUGCGAUGGCACAGUGAGGACCGUAAGAAAGACGGGAAGUUGAGAGCACCCGCUGAUGGGUCGCAGUGGAGAAAAAUCGAGAGAAAGUACUGGCAUGAGUUUGCAAGUGACCCAAGGAACGUAUGGUUUGGUUUAAGCGCAGAUGGCAUUAAUCCUUUCGAGGAGCAGAGCAGCAAUCACAUCACCUGGCCCGUGACUCUAUGUAUGUAUAACCUUCCUCCUUGGAUGUGCAUGAAGCGGAAGUUCAUUAUGAUGCCAAUUCUCAUCCAAGGCCCUAAGCAACCCGGCAACGACAUUGAUGUGUUCCUAAGGCCAUUAGUUGAAGAAUUUUUGUAG